UUUCUAUUCUGUAAGUCUAAGGGUAAAACUUCAAGUAUUAAGAUAAUUUGUACAUGUAGAGAAAAAAAUGACUUUUUCAUAAUAUACAGGGGCAGCUGCCAAAUUGAUGUAUUAUAAUAUUGUGGUUUCUGUUUCUUGAGAAAAAUUUUUUGUUAUUUUUACAUCUAACAGAGGAAAAAAAAUUUAAAAAGAGGGUAAGAAAUGACUCCAGUGGGGUGAUUUUAACAUGCAAAUGUCUGAGAUUUCUUCACUUGCUUUCUUCCUUACUCUGCCCCACACACGUACACUUUCUGUAAAACUUGAAAAUAGAAAGCAAAAACCCUCAACUGUUGUAAAUCAUGCAAUUAAGGUUGAUUACUUAUAAAUAUGAACUUUGGAUCACUGUAUAGACUGUUAAAUUUGAUUUCUUAUUACCUAUUGUUAAAUAAACUGUGUGAGACAG
This 442-nucleotide long non-coding RNA is filed under the name Mus musculus (house mouse). RNAcentral's name for it is "long non-coding RNA chr15:81651627-81652069". The record is from RNAcentral. Lineage: Eukaryota; Metazoa; Chordata; Mammalia; Rodentia; Muridae.